Molecule: ribosomal RNA, 585 nt
Filed under: uncultured bacterium
Lineage: Bacteria
Description: partial 16S ribosomal RNA
Rfam family: Bacterial small subunit ribosomal RNA
Source: RNAcentral
UGGGGGAAUUUUUGGACAAUGGGCGAAAGCCUGAUCCAGCAAUGCCGCGUGUGUGAAGAAGGCCUUCGGGUUGUAAAGCACUUUUGUCCGGAAAGAAAUCCUCUGGGUUAAUACCUCGGGGGGAUGACGGUACCGGAAGAAUAAGCACCGGCUAACUACGUGCCAGCAGCCGCGGUAAUACGUAGGGUGCAAGCGUUAAUCGGAAUUACUGGGCGUAAAGCGUGCGCAGGCGGUUUUGUAAGACGGAUGUGAAAUCCCCGGGCUUAACCUGGGAACUGCAUUCGUGACUGCAAGGCUAGAGUAUGGCAGAGGGGGGUUAGAAUUCCACGUGUAGCAGUGAAAUGCGUAGAGAUGUGGAGGAAUACCGAUGGCGAAGGCAGCCCCCUGGGCCAAUACUGACGCUCAUGCACGAAAGCGUGGGGAGCAAACAGGAUUAGAUACCCUGGUAGUCCACGCCCUAAACGAUGUCAACUAGCUGUUGGGGUUUAUUAACCUUAGUAGCGCAGCUAACGCGUGAAGUUGACCCGCCUGGGGAGUACGGUCGCAAGAUUAAAAGCUCAAAGGAAUUGACGGGGGUCAUAGCUG